RNAcentral lists this transfer RNA (70 nucleotides) under Trichonephila clavata. It matches the Rfam family "tRNA". From Rfam's summary of the family: Transfer RNA (tRNA) molecules are approximately 80 nucleotides in length. Their secondary structure includes four short double-helical elements and three loops (D, anti-codon, and T loops). Lineage: Eukaryota; Metazoa; Arthropoda; Arachnida; Araneae; Nephilidae. The record is from Rfam by way of RNAcentral.
GCAUCGGUGGUUCAGUGGUAGAAUGCUCGCCUGCUACGCGGGCAGCCCGGUUCAAUUCCCGGCCGAUGCA